This 72-nucleotide transfer RNA is filed under the name Candidatus Iainarchaeum sp. Its description in RNAcentral is "tRNA-Cys". It matches the Rfam family "tRNA". From Rfam's summary of the family: Transfer RNA (tRNA) molecules are approximately 80 nucleotides in length. Their secondary structure includes four short double-helical elements and three loops (D, anti-codon, and T loops). The record is from RNAcentral. Lineage: Archaea; Nanobdellati; Candidatus Iainarchaeota; Candidatus Iainarchaeia; Candidatus Iainarchaeales; Candidatus Iainarchaeaceae.
GCUGGUGUGGCAGAGAGGCUAUGCAUCCGCCUGCAGAGCGGAAGAUCGGGAGUUCAAGUCUCCCCACCAGCU